UGCAGUCGAACGAUGAACCUCACUUGUGGGGGGAUUAGUGGCGAACGGGUGAGUAACACGUGAGUAACCUGCCCUUGACUCUGGGAUAAGCCUGGGAAACCGGGUCUAAUACUGGAUACGACCUUCCCGCGCAUGCGGUGUUGGUGGAAAGCUUUUGUGGUUUUGGAUGGACUCGCGGCCUAUCAGCUUGUUGGNGGGGUAAUGGCCUACCAAGGCGACGACGGGNAGCCGGCCUGAGAGGGUGACCGGCCACACUGGGACUGAGACACGGCCCAGACUCCUACGGGAGGCAGCAGUGGGGAAUAUUGCACAAUGGGCGCAAGC
This 324-nucleotide ribosomal RNA is filed under the name uncultured bacterium. RNAcentral's name for it is "bacterial SSU rRNA". It matches the Rfam family "Bacterial small subunit ribosomal RNA", at positions 56 to 382 of the family's 1533-position model. The record is from RNAcentral.